Capsicum annuum is the source of this 163-nucleotide non-coding RNA. The record is from Rfam. NCBI's taxonomy places the organism in Eukaryota, Viridiplantae, Streptophyta, Magnoliopsida, Solanales, Solanaceae.
AUACUUAUCUGGACGGGGUCAAUGGGCGAUCAACAAGGCUCAUGUCCUAGGCUGGUGACCGCCAUUGCACACUCCGGAGAGGUGCCUGCCUAAGGUCAGCCCUAGUGGUCGAGCCUACGUCAUAAUUUGUGACAGUGGGGCCUGUGUUAAACGCCGUCCCUAC